Molecule: ribosomal RNA, 619 nt
Filed under: uncultured archaeon
Lineage: Archaea
Description: bacterial SSU rRNA
Rfam family: Archaeal small subunit ribosomal RNA
Source: RNAcentral
GCGGCCGAUUAGGUAGUUGGUUAGGUAAUGGCUUACCAAGCCGUUGAUCGGUACGGGUUGUGAGAGCAAGAGCCCGGAGAUGGAACCUGAGACAAGGUUCCAGGCCCUACGGGGUGCAGCAGGCGCGAAACCUCCGCAAUGUGAGAAAUCGCGACGGGGGGAUCCCAAGUGCCAUUCUUAACGGGAUGGCUUUUCAUUAGUGUAAAGAGCUUUUGGAAUAAGAGCUGGGCAAGACCGGUGCCAGCCGCCGCGGUAACACCGGCAGCUCUAGUGGUAACAAUUUUUAUUGGGCCUAAAGCGUCCGUAGCCGGUUUAAUAAGUCUCUGGUGAAAUCCUGCAGCUUAACUGUGGGAAUUGCUGGAGAUACUAUUAGACUUGAGACCGGGAGAGGUUAGAGGUACUCCCAGGGUAGAGGUGAAAUUCUGUAAUCCUGGGAGGACCGCCUGUUGCGAAGGCGUCUAACUGGAACGGUUCUGACGGUGAGGGACGAAAGUUAGGGGCGCGAACCGGAUUAGAUACCCGGGUAGUCCUAACUGUAAACGAUGCGGACUUGGUGUUGGGGUGGCUUUGAGCUGCUUCAGUGCCGAAAGGGAAGCUGUUAAGUCCGCCGCCUGGGAAG